GCUGCUAAACCUAAUUGAGUCGCAGCUCGGAUAACAAAACGGAAAAUUGCUUAAAUUGCUCUAAGUGCUAAGUUUGCUGCGUAUUGCGUCUCCCCGCGCCUUCUCACAUAGGACUCCUUAUAUACUCCUCCAAAGUCGAUUUUAGCUUUUUCCCUUCUACCCUUAAGCCGUCAUAGCUCAAAAAUGGAGAUAUUCCUAGUUUCCCGACCUUCGUGAUUAUCUUCUGAAACUUCCCAUUUUUUCCGCGGAAACUUGACAUUUAUCUUGCCUUACGAACCAAGCAUAAACCGUCAUAAGGCUUAUGGGUUUUUGGUUAAGAAUUCGUAAAUAGGCUUUGAGCUGCGUUUUAGGUCUCUUUGGGCCAUCUUUGACUCGAAACGUUUUUUACGGUUUCUUCGAUAAAAACGAACUUCUCGCGGUUUUUAUCGUAAAGUUUGACUGAUAACUUCAAGUGAUGAGAAACAAAUAAUGGUUUAGCCAUGGCUUACGGGAGAUAGCAUUAAAGAGUAGACGAUAAUGCAUGGAUUCGUGUCGUAUCGACGUUUUGGAAUAGUUCGGUCGGUACGUAGCGAUCGGGCUGUGUUCGUGCCCGAUCACUACGUAGCGACCGAGCUUGGCUGGAGUUCGGUCGCUACGUAGCGACCAGCUCGUGCGCCGGCCAAUCGCUACGUAGCGACCUUGAUCUUUCUCCGAUGUUUCGUGAACGUGUUUUCUCCGCAAGAUUGUUCGUAAAAAUAAAUAUUUUCGAAGAUUUAUUUUUCGUAAAAAUGUUCAUGUUAAUCUUUACGGAUAUCUGAAUGUUUUUUUUACCCAACAACUGAAUAUUAUUAAUUUUAUGUAGUAUAGUCUAAGCUAAGCAAAGAACACUUUCAAUCUUGCUGGUGUUCUCGUUUUAAUAGGCCAUUUGAUAAACUUAAGUAGUAUAGGCUCAUGGUACGCAAUAUUUAUUUGGGUCUUCUCCUUGCUCCAAUUGGUGUCUGCAAAUGCAUAUGAUAAAUCCCUUUUGAUGUGAAAUAGAAGUAGACCCUUGUGAAUGUUGUUGUACAUGUGUGUGUGUUGUCUUCUAAACAAACGAUUACAUUGUAUCAUCUAACCAUCACUAUAUUAUGAAAUAGUUAAUACUUACUAUAUGUUUAUGUAGUAUAGUAUAACAUAAAGAAAUAACAUUUUCACUCUUUGAAAUUGGAUUCCUUCUGUUAGGCCUAUGUAUUUGUUUACGUCCUACGGGAGUUAUGCAUUUUGUGAUCCUUAUAACAUUUAUUUCGUUUGCUGGGAUGGAAGAGUUAAGUUUGCCAGAACGUUUGUUUUACACAGGGUAUGAACCCACGCGCCAGAAAAGAAUUAACAACUGCUUCAACUUGCGGUGGAUUGAGAUUGUAAAAGCAGCACUUUCAGAUUCUCAGCAGUAGGUGUUGGCUGAAUCUCAGUUUAGACAACUAAUGCUUAUGGGGGCUCAUACAUUUUUCAUCAUGUUCGCCCACCAGAUUUUGUCACGGCAGUUGGUGACUAGAAAACUGUAUGAGCUGUGGCGGUUGUUUGCAGGGGAACCAAUUCGAUAUGGUAUUGGGGACUUUGCAUUGGUUACAGGUCUCAAUUGUGGGACCCCGCCUACCCCGAACGUAGGUGGGCAGAGGAUGACGAAUGGGAAAAAAAGGCAAAGCAAGUAGGUGGCGAUGGAGUCGUGUGGCGAGAAUUAUUUGCAUCUUAACAUUCCUGUUUGAUUUAAGGUUUAUGGAGACUAUACUAUAUUUGUCAUAGUCUUGUCUUGUUUUAUCUGUUCAAGUAUCGAAGUUGCCCAACUAUUAGUUAUCCCACAAGUCAACCAUUUUCACUUUCCCUUUUGGUUUGUGGUCUUUUUGCAAUGGUCCAUCCACCAACGUAAACACCCUUGUGUAUGAAACAGUGCAUGCCAUCUUAAUCUGACUAUACUAUACGGUGUAUAGUAUAUGUUUCUGAAUUAGAACGACUCCUAUUUGGUCAACCAACGUCCCCACCAACAGCGACGUGCAUUUCACCGUAUUAACCCCUAUUAAUUUUUCCCUAUUCGUUACGGUUAUCUCUGUUGACCUCUUACUGUCUUUCUUUUUCCUUCCUAUGUGAGUAUCGUAUGCAAAUUUAGUAUGUAAUUCCAUGCAAUUGGAAUGAUAUGUCACUUUUAUUACUCCUACACCUCACGGGAGUAGGGGUCUUCAUUUAUAUUACACAAAAAAAACAUUUUACAUCAUGGCGCACAUAUUACCAACAUGUGUAGACACAAUAUUACGACUACACUGUACAUGCUAUAUUCUGGUCUCGUUAAUUCAUUUAACGUUGGCAGGUGACCAACUAUUUGUUAUCCCACACCUACGACAUUCUUGCCUUCCGCCUAUGGUUAGUGGCCCUUUACUGCAGACCUUUUUAUGUUCACACAUGUAAUGCCUUUUUCUUCUAUUUACGUUACUAAACUACACCACCGAUAGUAUGGAACGACCACACCUACUUAUGAUUGGAAAUUUUCAAUUUCAAUCUAUUAUAUUUUCGGCCGUCUUUAUAACAUCUGGUCUCUUUCUGUAUCAUAACUUAAGGAAUUUUACAUAUACGGCAUCCGGUGCGUAUGGUAAGCCGUAUGACAAAAUACUCUGACAAAAUCUUACUUUACAUAAUAUUGUUUACGUCUUUAUCACUCCAAUUUAGACUUUGACCCCCUUCCCCACCUACACUACGUCGUUUUUCACCUCAUUUACCCUUUCUAUUACUCGUGGAGUUGUUGCUAACGGUUAUCUUACUUGGAGUCUUAGUGUUUUAGUUUUGCGUUCAUGUCUGAAUAUACUAUUAUAAUUGUAGUAUGUUAGUGCUCUCACUUUCAAUACCAGCUCGAAGUUUUUUAAUCAAAUACUACAUGUGGUUAUGGUAUUGAAAUGACAUCCUAUACUAUCUAUAUGUUUGGUAUAAGGGAGAAUUGCGCACAUGGUUUUUACUUCUUCCUCUUUCUUCACGCGCACGCGCUAGGCAGAGAUCGUUUCAGGGAAUUUUGACCAAAACCUGUCACUUCUGUGGGUCCGUACUGUAGCAUGAUUAUUUUUUACAUUCUUCACUUUCUUAUGAAUAUCCGCCAAAUUCACCCAUAUUCAUGUGAGAAAUUUGGGCUCAUGCAUAUAGCAGACCGGUAAAAUAAGUUUUUACCUAUAAGCCGUGGAUGACUACGAUAUUUUGUAUAUUUUAUGUAUAAUACCCAAAAUAUCCAUCAAGUGCGCGUGAGAAAACGUAGGCCCCACAACGUCUUCUGUUUUCGAUAAACAAUGGAAACUGAACAAUUUUCCCUCAGUUUCGAAAACAAAUGAACCCAACAAAAGAGAGACUUGGAUAGCAAAGAAGUUUAUCGCAACUGUGUAAGAUAAAAGGGUUCGGGUGGUGUUACGCAGAAGGAGAGCGAUUGCGUGACAGGAAAUUAGAAGAUCGUUUAAUAGAGGCGGUAGUGAUUAAUGGCUGGAGCAACGAUUGGACAGUGGAAAACGGGGCCGGAAUCGAGGUAUAUGCAUGGUUGAUUUACUAGGGCAAAAUCAUAGUUUAUGGUUCUCGCCGUCCACAAUAUUGGGUUUUACCUAAGUUAAAUCGGAACUCUCCCAUAAACUGCAGUUCUGGGUCGGAACGGGGAACAAAAGCGGAAGAGAAAGGAUGGAAGAGUUUGGUUUUCCAGAGCGCUUGUUACAGAAAGGUUAUGAACCUACAGGCCGUAAAAGAAUAAACAACUGCUUCAAUUUGUGUUGGAUUGAGGUCGUAAAAGCAGCAUUGUCAGAUGCGCAACAAGAGCCCUUAGCGGAAUUACAGUUUAGACAACUAAUGCUAAUGGGGGCGCAUACGUUUUCUUAAUGUUUGCACACCAGUUAACGGUUACGUAACCAUUCUAUUAGGUUUUUAUAUAUAGAAUAGUUAUAUCUUGCAGUACCAAUGCUUUAACUGUAACACGUCCAUUGUUUACACGCCACAAGAUUAUUGUGUGUUGCAACGCAUGUCCUUAUGGAACUUAAUGCGAAAUGGAGCCUGAACAAUGCAGCCCAACUAACAUAAGACGAUCUUGGCACUACAACACAGACAUACGCAGUAGAAGCUUUCUUGUGCUUCAACCCCGACCACCUCCAGCAAUUUCCUGUGGAGUGAUAUUUAUGUGUUUUACUUACCUACUAUGUUUCAACUUUUAAUGUUAUUGUAUUUGUGUAACCAAACGUUAAGAGCAACUCCCUUAUUGAUGAGGGAUAUGCUAUUUUAUACGCUAUCGUCCAUGUUAUCUUGUUGCAUACAUUACUAUUGUUACGUUAACCUUUUGUUUUGCCC
This is a long non-coding RNA of Brassica napus (rape), 4311 nucleotides long. RefSeq lists it as uncharacterized. NCBI's taxonomy places the organism in Eukaryota, Viridiplantae, Streptophyta, Magnoliopsida, Brassicales, Brassicaceae. The transcript has 2 exons. The record is from RefSeq and is a predicted model, not a curated record.